CAGGUGCUAAUACCGUAUAACAAUCAAAACCGCAUGGUUUUGAUUUGAAAGGCGCUUUCGGGUGUCGCUGAUGGAUGGACCCGCGGUGCAUUAGCUAGUUGGUGAGGUAACGGCUCACCAAGGCCACGAUGCAUAGCCGACCUGAGAGGGUGAUCGGCCACAUUGGGACUGAGACACGGCCCAAACUCCUACGGGAGGCAGCAGUAGGGAAUCUUCGGCAAUGGACGAAAGUCUGACCGAGCAACGCCGCGUGAGUGAAGAAGGUUUUCGGAUCGUAAAACUCUGUUGUUAGAGAAGAACAAGGAUGAGAGUAACUGUUCAUCCCUUGACGGUAUCUAACCAGAAAGCCACGGCUAACUACGUGCCAGCAGCCGCGGUAAUACGUAGGUGGCAAGCGUUGUCCGGAUUUAUUGGGCGUAAAGCGAGCGCAGGCGGUUUCUUAAGUCUGAUGUGAAAGCCCCCGGCUCAACCGGGGAGGGUCAUUGGAAACUGGGAGACUUGAGUGCAGAAGAGGAGAGUGGAAUUCCAUGUGUAGCGGUGAAAUGCGUAGAUAUAUGGAGGAACACCAGUGGCGAAGGCGGCUCUCUGGUCUGUAACUGACGCUGAGGCUCGAAAGCGUGGGGAGCAAACAGGAUUAGAUACCCUGGUAGUCCACGCCGUAAACGAUGAGUGCUAAGUGUUGGAGGGUUUCCGCCCUUCAGUGCUGCAGCUAACGCAUUAAGCACUCCGCCUGGGGAGUACGACCGCAAGGUUGAAACUCAAAGGAAUUGACGGGGGCCCGCACAAGCGGUGGAGCAUGUGGUUUAAUUCGAAGCAACGCGAAGAACCUUACCAGGUCUUGACAUCCUUUGACCACUCUAGAGAUAGAGCUUCCCCUUCGGGGGCAAAGUGACAGGUGGUGCAUGGUGGUCGUCAGCUCGUGUCGUGAGAUGUUGGGUUAAGUCCCGCAACGAGCGCAACCCUUAUUGUUAGUUGCCAUCAUUCAGUUGGGCACUCUAGCAAGACUGCCGGUGACAAACCGGAGGAAGGUGGGGAUGACGUCAAAUCAUCAUGCCCCUUAUGACCUGGGCUACACACGUGCUACAAUGGGAAGUACAACGAGUUGCGAAGUCGCGAGGCUAAGCUAAUCUCUUAAAGCUUCUCUCAGUUCGGAUUG
RNAcentral lists this ribosomal RNA (1156 nucleotides) under Enterococcus faecium. RNAcentral describes it as "bacterial SSU rRNA". It matches the Rfam family "Bacterial small subunit ribosomal RNA", at positions 157 to 1300 of the family's 1533-position model. The record is from RNAcentral. Lineage: Bacteria; Bacillati; Bacillota; Bacilli; Lactobacillales; Enterococcaceae.